RNAcentral lists this ribosomal RNA (463 nucleotides) under uncultured bacterium. RNAcentral describes it as "partial 16S ribosomal RNA". It matches the Rfam family "Bacterial small subunit ribosomal RNA", at positions 28 to 507 of the family's 1533-position model. The record is from RNAcentral.
GACGAACGCUGGCGGCGUGCUUAACACAUGCAAGUCGAACGGAAAGUCCUUUUCGGAGGUACUCGAGUGGCGUACGGGUGCGUAACACGUGGGUGAUCUGCCCUGCACUCUGGGAUAAGGCUGCGAAACUGGGUCUAAUUCUGGAUACGACCGCUCUUUCGUGUGUGUGGUGGCAAGUUUUUUCGGUGUUGGUUGGGCCCGCGGCCUAUCAGCUUGUUGUGGGGGUAAUGGACUACCAAGGCGGCGACGGGUAGCCAGACUGCGAGGUUGCUCGGCCACAUUGGGACUGAGAGACGGCCCAGGCUCCGACGGGAGGGAGCAGGGGGGAAGAUUGCACAAGGGGCGCAAGCCUGAUGCAGAGACGCCGCGGGGGGGAGGACGGUCUUCGGGUUGGAAAAUCAAUUCGCCAGGGACGAAGCGUUUUGUGACGGUACCUGGAGAAGAAGCACCGGCUAACUACGUG